This 609-nucleotide long non-coding RNA is filed under the name Physcomitrium patens. Its description in RNAcentral is "long non-coding RNA (PPAT_LNC006050)". The record is from RNAcentral. Lineage: Eukaryota; Viridiplantae; Streptophyta; Bryopsida; Funariales; Funariaceae.
AUGAUAAAGAAAGGGGCAUUCAGGAGAUCAAAAUUUUGGGAUCGGAGAGCUAGCUUUAAGCUCCUUCAAAAGGUGUGUAAUUGGGUUUCAUAGGAUUUGGAGAGAACUUUGGCAAUCAAUUCUGAAAGUCAGUGUUUAUAUUCGUGAAUUGGAUUUUUUUUGUAAUAAAGUAACGACUGGUACUCUAGAUUGUUUUGUGAAAUUGGAAAAACUUCUAUGAUUGAAACUCAGAGGUGUCUAGAGGGUUGAGUAUGUCGAGUGCAUGCAAAACUUUGUAUUAAUCUGAUAAAACAGAUAGAAGAUAAUUGACAAUUAGUGUAAAGAAGUAUCGUAAGUUAGCAGAUUGGGGUUGUUUAGGGUUUUUGUAAUAUUUGGAGAUCUAUUGGCUGGAAUAAGGUGACUUUUGGCGUGGUAAGUCGAGGACUUCUAGGCGGCGAUCAAGAUACAUCAGUGUGGAUUAACGGCAUUUUUUUGCAACUUGUAAAUUAGAUUGGAUUGAAACUUCUUGAGCAUUUAGAAGGCUUGCAAAGACAUUAGUGGUAGAAAUUUAUAACAAUCGGACAAUCAGAUUGAAAAUUAUAGCUUGCUGAAGCUCGCUGUUCAGAGUUA